GGAUUAGAUACCCUGGUAGUCCACGCCCUAAACGAUGAGUGCUAGACUUCGGAUUAUGUUCGGAGUCGCAGCUAACGCGUUAAGCACUCCGCCUGAGGACUACGGUCGCAAGACUAAAACUUAAAGGAAUUGACGGGGGCCCGCACAAGCGGUGGAGCAUGUGGUUUAAUUCGACGAUACGCGAAAAACCUUACCAGCUCUUGACAUGGGGAUUUUGGACCUUGGAGACAAGGUUCUUCGGUUCGGCCGGGUCCCACACAGGUGCUGCAUGGCUGUCGUCAGCUCGUGCCG
Molecule: ribosomal RNA, 291 nt
Filed under: uncultured bacterium
Lineage: Bacteria
Description: partial 16S ribosomal RNA
Rfam family: Bacterial small subunit ribosomal RNA
Source: RNAcentral